ACCAACACGAUUGUAAAAAACCGC
This 24-nucleotide non-coding RNA is filed under the name Arabidopsis thaliana (thale cress). Lineage: Eukaryota; Viridiplantae; Streptophyta; Magnoliopsida; Brassicales; Brassicaceae. The record is from RNAcentral.